This 1953-nucleotide long non-coding RNA is filed under the name Sus scrofa (pig). RNAcentral's name for it is "lncRNA (ENSSSCG00030065349.1)". The record is from RNAcentral. Lineage: Eukaryota; Metazoa; Chordata; Mammalia; Artiodactyla; Suidae.
GGGAAGGUCUGAACUCCUCAGCGUCUCACUCCUGUCAGCUUCCAGCGUGACAGACGCACAAAGGAGGAGGAACUGGGACCUGAGAAUAGCUGUGGGAACGAAAGGGGAUGGCUGGAGGAAGGAAGCUGAAUUUAUCUGAGUACCUACUUCGUGCCAGUUCCAGACAACAUUUCAUCACUUCUGGCAGUUCCAGAGACCUCUGAAUUUGUGAGAAGAAAGAUUUGCUGGGAAGUGACUUCUCUCCUGCGGCCAGUGUUUGUUUCUAGACUCAGCUCUGCAGACUUUGGGCAUUUUGCCUUGGAAGGAGGAGGAUUAUGGCAGGAGAGACCUCAGUCCUCAGGCCUGGAGCAGAAAUGGGAGAGUUCCCACUACUUCCUGGUCGACCAGUGGUUUGCAAAGAGGAGGUUCCCAAGAAGAGGACAAAGAACAAGAGCUGAAAAAGGAAGAAGAACAUGGGGUCCAGGAGGACUACAAGAGGCAGGGCAGCCUGGACCAGCUCCCCUCUAUAGCGCUCUUGGGGAUCUUGGGUUUUUGCGCCUUUUCCCUUCCUACUUCCCCUGCUCUGUCUCCAUCCCAGGCCCUGCCACUUUCCGCACUAGAACCAGCUUCCUCGCAUGUGAGAGAAUCUUGGGGUACAGACCAGGCAGAGAGAAAGUGAGUGACACUCACACCAUCUCACUUUACCAGUUCAGCACAGACUUGAAUGCAUUUCUUCAAGGUCGUCUGAGUUUUCUUCCUUUCAAGCCAGCUGAGAUUUUCUCUAGCCUACGCGCUUUACCAGCAUGUAUGUGGUUCUCUCUUGUUGGGUUACAGGAGCGGCAAGGUCCCUUUCUGACUGACCUUGAGGAAACUGUGUGGCUUGGUUUUAGAAGUCCCUGGAACUCCCGUUCAGAGUCACACGGGUGAAGAUUGAGGAGGGGGUGACAGGGAGCUUUGGUGCCUCAGAGCUGCAGUUAGGGGGGAUCCAGACAGUCCAGAUGGCAGAAAUGUUCGCUCCACAAUUGUUUCUCCGACAGAACCAUGGGAGUCAGUGUAGACCCACAGUCAGUGUGUUCAUGCCUAUGGGCAUGUUGGGUGGGUCAGGGGCUGCGUGAUCUGAUUGGCUCAUGAUGACUGGUCUCUACCCACCAGGCUCAAAUUUCUUGAUGUCUUUAUGGUGAUACUCCCUGGCAUUUCCUUCUGCAUACACACUAUCUUGUCAAAAAUUCUCAUUUAAGCCAUCUCUCUGACCCCAAUGUGUUUGGUUUUUUUUUUUGUUGUUGUUUGUUUGUUUUUUUUACAAAUCUUAAGUGUAUGUUGGGUUUUGGCAAAUAUAUACCAAGUAUUUUUAAAAUAUUAUUUUCUCUUUCAAUAGUUAUUGCUUUGUAUUUUAAAAACUCUUUUACAAUUGUACUUUAAAAUUACUUCAAUGGUAUAUUUAAAUGGUUUUGGUAAUCACUGUGAGUUCCGACCCAGGAUCUUUUUCCUUAAAAUUUUAGCAUCCUGAGAAUUGUCACUACAGUGACUUUAGCCCACCUGGGGCACCUGAUCACAAGCCCUCAGUGGUGCCCUUUUGCUUCUCCAGGACUGGAAUUGCCUUGGUCCUUGGAUCUGACAAGGAGACAAAGAGGGGCUCUGGGUCCAGGGCCUGGCACAUGGAGACAGGCUGGGCUGAUUGGUCUCUGAGAAGCUGAACGUGCCCUCCACCAGGGUGUGAAUAUUCUCCAGAAGGACACUUCCUCUUUUCCAGUGGGGUUUUCUGGAUACGCCUGGUAGAGAGCAGUGGUCUUCUGUUUAACCCACCAUGUGUGUGAGUGUGCGUGUGUGAAUACUUGUCGUAUUGAAAAAUUUCAAACUUUACACAGCAGUUUCUUUCUCACCAGGGUCUCUGCUUGUGUGAAACUUUAAUUUUACAGCUUUGGCUGUUAAUUCAUCAUGGGCACCAACAUCAAUAAAUAUUUAUUGGGUUUUCAC